This 23-nucleotide non-coding RNA is filed under the name Arabidopsis thaliana (thale cress). The record is from RNAcentral. Lineage: Eukaryota; Viridiplantae; Streptophyta; Magnoliopsida; Brassicales; Brassicaceae.
CACCCGUUUUCAACUGCUAAACU